CUCCUUCCGGGUGCAGGCGGGCCUGGGCAGUCUGAGUCCUACCUCAGCCCCCACCUCACCUCCCUGCAUCCUCCUAGCAUCUCUGCAGGGCUAGCCCAGAGGUUGGCGGCGGAAGGCCCACAGCUCCCCUGGCUCCAUGGGCAAUGACCGAACAGCCCUUCACCUCUCUGGGCCUUGUUUUCUCAAACUGAAACUGGAGAGGAUGACCCCAGCCUGGGACCUUCGAGGGCCUCAAAAGGGCUCUGGGCCUUGCGUGAGACAGAGUCUGAAUCUGUGACCUAGUCUGGAGUGCAGUUGCAAGAUCACAACUCGCUGCAACUUCAACCUCCUGGGCUUAAGCAAUUCUCCUACUUCAGCCUUCUGAGUAACUGGGACUACGGGUGUGUGCCACCACACCUGGCUAAUUAUUUUGCUUGUUUUUUGUACAGACAGAGUCUUGCUGUGUUGCCCGGGCUGGUCUCGAACUCCUGGGCUCAAGUGAUCCUCCCGCCUUGGCCUCCUGAAGGGCUGAGAUGACGGCAUGAGCUGCCUCACGCAGCCCCCAUUCUACACCUCUGAAGUGAGUUUACAUGGUACAGUUGCUGUCUGGCUAGCUGCCGUCCCAACAUCACUGUCAGGACCCACACCUGAAAAGCACCAGCAUCAAAUCCUUCAGAAGAGUGUCAGCAGCUUGGAAGAAAUCCUAGAGGGCCCAUGCACGGCAUAUUCACUGCUGUAUCCCCAGAGCCUCGCACAGUGCCUGGUGCAGAGAUGAUUUUCAGCAAAGAGGCACUGAAGGGAAGAUACCUAUGUGACUGUGAGGAGACACAGGCUGGACGAUGAAUGUGAUGGCUGGAACUCAAGCAGCCACAGUGGAUCAUAAGGGACGGUGUCUUGCUAUGUUGUCCAAGCUGGUCUCAAACUGGCCUGAAUCAAUGCUUCCACCUCAGCUGCCAGAGGAACCGGGAUUACAGGCCUGAGCCACUGCAGCCAGCCAGUUUGUUAUUUUAAUGUAAAUUCUUAGUAAACAACUCAGGAGCUCUCUUGUCCUUUUAAAAUCCAUUUCAACUUCUGCUAAUCGGAGUGUAUAUUCAGGGCAACUUGAAUCUGUGCUCCUGGGAUGCAAUCCUCAAGCUUGGCCCAAAUAAAGUCUCCGC
RNAcentral lists this long non-coding RNA (1136 nucleotides) under Homo sapiens (human). RNAcentral's name for it is "HSALNT0363195". Lineage: Eukaryota; Metazoa; Chordata; Mammalia; Primates; Hominidae. The record is from RNAcentral.